Molecule: long non-coding RNA, 3065 nt
Organism: Myotis daubentonii (Daubenton's bat)
Lineage: Eukaryota; Metazoa; Chordata; Mammalia; Chiroptera; Vespertilionidae
Exons: 5
Source: RefSeq, a predicted model, not a curated record
GCCGGGGGCUGGGCCGGCCACGCGCGGGGCACCACGGGAGCGGGAGUCCGCGGCCGGCGGGCCGUCACCUGAGACCGCGCCUGAGGAGCGGAGACCCCGCGUCGCGGCCGGAGAGGGCUGCAGCCAAAGAAGCUAGUGCCAGCCCGGCAGGUGCAGGAGGCAGGGGACCUACUUGGAGGUGGAGUCCCAGGAUGAUGGCCUCGAGGAGGCAGAGGCGGAGGAGGAGUAGAGGAAGGUGGAGCGAAUGGUCCAUCCCGGCGGGAGCUGGCUGGGCGAGUGGCCCCGCAUGUGUGCCUGCAUGGAGGCCAGGCUGGGGCAGCCGGCUCCGCACAGAGAGCAGCGGUAGGGUGCAGCCCCGUGUGUCCGCAGGUGCUUGGUCAUGGCCGAGAAGUCCCGGGAGCGCUGGGGACAGAGGCCACAGGAAAAGGGCUUCUCUCCUAGGGCGGGUGGAGGGGAAGGGCGGUGAAGAUAAGAAGGGGGCGAAGCCCUAGCCGGUUUGGCUCUGGAUAGGGCGUCAGCCUGCGGACUGAAGGGUCCCAGGUUCCAUUCUGGCCAAGGGCACAUGCCUGGGUCGCGGGCUUGAUCCCCAGUAGGGGGCAGCCGAUCAAUGAUUCUCUCUCAUCAGUGAUGUUUCUAUCCCUCUAUCUCUCUCCCUUCCUCUCUGAAAUCAAUAAAAAUAUAUUAAUUAAAAAGAAAAGAAGGCAGCCUAGGGUAGAUCGGGGGCAACUGGACAAGGGAGUUGUGUGGGAGCUAGGCAGCAGAGAGGGACAUAGGGGCAGGCAAGUCAGUGCUUGGCAGGGUGCCCAUACCUGUGUGGACUCGGUAGUGUGUCUCCAUCUGAUGCUUGAGUGAAAACCUCUUUCCACAGACAGAACAAGAAUAGGGCCUGGACCGAGCAGGAGGAGGCCUGAAAGGCUGUUGGCGAGAUGGGCAGCCUGCUUUGCCCACAUGACCCACACAGGUUGCAAGUGUACCUGUGGGGACAAAAAAGAUAGGCUUCCAUUGGGCCCUUCACUCACCUCUGAUCCUGAGGCCAGACCUCUUGCCAGGCUGCACUGAUUGAAGUACUAUGGGAGAAAGGAGUGCCAUAUCUGGGCGGCAAUAGCAGGAGGCUCCACAGGGCAGGCUGGCUCUCCUUCAACCAGGGGGCCUCAGCCCACCAGGGCCUAGAGAGUCAAAGAAGUGUAUCUGAGGCAACAAAAAACUCUGAACUAAUCAGAUCUGCAUUUGAGUCUCAUCUCUGCCAUUUACUAGUUGAGUCACCUUGGGCAAAUCAUCUCUCUGAGCCUCCCUUACUUACCUCAUCCAUGAAAUAGGAGGUGUCAGCGGAGCUCCAGCAGAUGAAAGCGGUUUCUACUAUCUCAGAGGCAAAAAGGACUGAAAUAUCUGGAUUCCAAGGAGAGAGUGAAGGAGAGCCGAAAGCAUGCCCGACUUGAUACUAGGAAGCCUUGACUGCUUUGUGGAAAUGACCUCUGUCAUUUGAGCCAUCACUGAGGACUGGGUGUGUGCGUGACUCAGAUCCUCCCAUCAAACUCUGAAGGGGGUAACCCCAGAAAGGGUCUGUGGUGGUCUUUGAAGAGAAAAACUCCUUUUCUUGGGUUGAUGACAAAUUACAUUUCUCUGAAAUCAGAACUCCGGGGUUUCUUUCACUUCCUGCCCAAAGAGUCAAGGUCCUCGGAGAUUUCCCGUCUUUUCACUUUAGCACUUGUUAAUUUGGGAAAAGGAUGACGUCUGAGAAACUCAAAUUUCUUUUUCAUAUUAUUCCAUGAUCCCUCACUCUAUGACAAAUUUUUAUUGAUUUGAUAAAUCACUUAUAUGAGCCUGGCGUAUCAUAUAUGCCCAAUAACAAAGAUAAACAAGUCAGGCAUUGGAAGGCUUCUCUGGUUUCCCCCCACUCUCCAGGCUUUUCCCUUAGAUUCUGGGUCCUCUCCUAGACUCAAAUAUUAUGUCUCUAAACUCCUGUUUCUCCCUUUGGACCCAGGACCCCAAAAUAUUCAGACCAGCCUUCUACUUUCUCCCUCCAGACUUAAUAUAUCUUCCCUCUACCUCUUGUUCUAGCUUGGGUGCAGGCAGAUGUUAACCCUUCCUACAUCAGACAGGGUGUGCCAUUGGGUGGGGCUGGUAGAGGGGCAAUAAUAGGGUGGGGAGAGGGGAAGAUGAGUCAGAGUGAAAGGGAAAAUGCAAAUGGGUAAGCUGUAUUCAUUUGCUACUCUGAACAUUAAAUGUUUUUCAUUGCUGAGCUUUCUAACUCCUCACACCACCACACCCAGGGACUCAUUAUACAUCAUAUAAAAGACACUAGACCUAGACACAUAAAAGCAUCAAUGCCUGAUAUUUAUACAGAUUGUGUAUACAGAGGAAUACACAAUCCCUGAAGAUACGGAAUAAGUGGGGAAAGCCACGAGGGAGAAACCCUAAGUAUAUAAGGAAAGGUACAGUGGUCUGGAAGAUUAUAUCACCACCCAGCGGUGUGUGGUCCCCCUCACCUCCCAGGCCUAUAUCAUGUGUCUGUGACUCAACAUCCCCACUGGUAUGAUUUGCCCAUUGAUGAUCAAGAGAGUUGGAGACAGCUCAAAAGGCAGUGUCCUCUGAAAGCCGCCAAAUGUAGUUGGCAGGGAGUAGUCAACAGGCUUUUUGGGUCUAAAAGGGAGCAGAAGAGGCAAGGGAUCUCCCCAUUCAGUGAAUAAAAGCCCCCAAGAAUGGGAAACUUAUUUUGCCUCCCACUUGGUGUCUACUCCAUCUAAGGAUAUCCCUUUAAAGACUUCCUUUCCCUUAGAGGUAUCUCUUGAGCUCUCUACACCUCAGCCCUUAGGCUAGUAACACUCUAGGCCAGGGGUUGGGAACCUUUUUUCGGUUGAGGGCCAUUUGGAUAUUUAUAACAUCAUUUGUUGGCCAUACAAAAUUAUCAACUUAAAAUUUAGCCUACUAUAUUUGGUCAAACAUUUAAUUAACCCAGCCCCAAUGCUUUGGCAGGUCCAGAUCAAAUUAUUUCAUGGGUUUUAAAUGGCCUGAGGGGGGUCAGACGUUCCCCACCCCUGCUCUAGGCGCAUCUCUCUCUCUCUCUC